UCCAACAACGUCUGAGCUCAAUGUCUGUUGUGUUUCUAUCCAAGUGCCCGCGUGGGAAACGACGUCGGGAGGAGAACGCUUCCGACGCCCCCGAGUCCUGCGCCUCCGUGGAGGGAGUGGUCCAUGGUUACCAUGGUAACCACGGUGGCGGCUGCUGCUGCUGUGAGGGUGUGCUGUGAUCAUCUGGUGGCCUUGCCGUUUUCGUGGACGUCCAUUCUGAGGCCGGGAGAGAAAAGGUUUCCCUCCACUCCAGGAGGGGUUAUCCGCUGACAGGACGGUCCCAUCAACCCAUCUCCACAACCCCUCACUGGCCUCAUCUGUCGCUCCGAGCCAGAAGUACUCGGCGUAUCCGCUAAUGAAGUCCAUCUCCUCUUUACUGUCCACCACCACCAGAUCUGCUCCGAAGGAAACACAGAGCUCCCUGCUCUUACUCCAGGAUCCCCUCUCACUGAAAUAUCUGUAACAGUUACAACCCAACUUAUACCAACCACCUUGACAGUCCUUUUUACAAAGCAGUGCGUCUCUCUGCUCUGUCACAUUCUUCAGCCUUUGGACAAGUUGCUCCACGUCUCCGUCCAUGCUUACGGUCUUGUGUUGCACUGCCAACCGAAGCAGUCCAGCCAGCAGGGCAACAGACAGCAGGACCAGAAGCACCACCACAGCCCUGAUCUGACGCCGAGGAGGGCUCACAGGGUCCGGCUGCUGACUUCUUACUGUUCCCAGAGUAUUGGAGGACUCCUCUGUCCCCACAUAGUCCUGGUGUUGUUCUCUGAGGCUCUCAAUGCUAUCGUAGAUCUCCACUAUCCUCUCCUCUCUCUCUCCUUGUGUGUUCCUGGCAAUGUUGUGCGUGGCGUGAAUCACCUCAGCCAUAUUCUGGUUUAAACUGUUUUCAGAGUUUCUUAUCGUCCUACCCCUAUGAGUGCUCGGUCUUUCUGUGCGUUUUGAAUGCCAGCAUGUCAAAGUCUUAACGCCUACUUUGAUCAUACAGGAAGUAUUUUAACCAGAGGCUACCUGCUACAUGUGCUGGCAGAGUCACUGUGUGGUAAGACACAUCCUGUUUUCUUAGUUAGUGGUACAUGCAGUGCAUCACUUAUGGUCAUAACCAUAAGGUUGAUUUGUUGAUCAACAUCAAAAGGACCAAAUUAACAUCAAGACAUUCUUCAAAUACACAUUUGAGCCAUAGGUCUUGGCUAACUGUUAAUUAAUGGCUGUGUCUGUUAAAGCAGAUCAUUUGAUAGACGUUGAUGAUAUUAUUGAUGUCCACUCCAGAAAGAAAUUCCAUGUUCGUGCCCCCCUUAAGUUACAAAGCAGAUCUCCCCCUGGCCUACCAGGUAGGUAGACAGACAGGUAGGCCGUCUAAUCAUUAAUUUGGCCCGAGAUUAACGAUUGGACGGGCUUUUUGUAGUCCUGCAGCAUCCCAAGAUAUCAGAUUUCCUUUAUUAUAGUCGGCGCCUUCGGUUUAUUAAUUGGGUCUGGAUGUACAGGAUCCACAAUAAUGAGAAAAAAUGCUUGAUGGUGGACGGUGGCAGAUGGUAAUCAUGGAAUAUAAAAAGCACUCUGAUUGGCUCAGGAUAUAGCCAAUGAGGCACAGUGAAUCAGCAGCGUUAGGAGAGAAGAUUUGGGUGAGAUGUCACAAUUUGGUCCGUGUAUUACCACAACUUAAGGGUUUACCACAUAUUACAUCGAUGACCCUUGACCUAUGAUAAGCAGCUGCUGAAUGACCAUGUUGCACACUUGAUAUUGUUUAACUUUGACAUGUAACAGAAUAACUCGUGUCUAUACCAAAGUCAAACUCAACCCUCUGCAAAAGUGAUUAGUAAUAUAUAGAGAACAGAUGGCAAGAGUAAGAGGUACACAUUUGUACGAUCAUUUGGCAGAUGCUUUUAACAAAGCGUCCUAACAAUAAUGUAACUGCAAUAAUGACAUAAACACGAGUGACGGAAA
Molecule: long non-coding RNA, 1944 nt
Organism: Gadus macrocephalus (Pacific cod)
Lineage: Eukaryota; Metazoa; Chordata; Actinopteri; Gadiformes; Gadidae
Exons: 2
Source: RefSeq, a predicted model, not a curated record